GAGUUUGAUCGUGGCUUAGGACGAACGCUGGCGGCGUGCCUAAUACAUGCAAGUAGAACGCUGAAAUCUGGUGCUUGCACCGGAUGGAUGAGUUGCGGACGGGUGAGUAACACGUAGGUAACCUGCCCCGGAGCGGGGGAUAACAUUUGGAAGCAGAUGCUAAUACCGCAUAACAACAAAAGCCACAUGGCUUUUGUUUGAAAGAUGGCUUUGGCUAUCACUCUGGGAUGGACCUGCGGUGCAUUAGCUAGUUGGUAAGGUAACGGCUUACCAAGGCGAUGAUGCAUAGCCGAGUUGAGAGACUGAUCGGCCACAGUGGAACUGAGACACGGUCCAUACUCCUACGGGAGGCAGCAGUAGGGAAUCUUCCACAAUGGGCGCAAGCCUGAUGGAGCAACACCGCGUGAGUGAAGAAGGGUUUC
This 422-nucleotide ribosomal RNA is filed under the name uncultured bacterium. Its description in RNAcentral is "bacterial SSU rRNA". It matches the Rfam family "Bacterial small subunit ribosomal RNA", at positions 9 to 419 of the family's 1533-position model. The record is from RNAcentral.